This 150-nucleotide unclassified non-coding RNA is filed under the name Oryza sativa (Asian cultivated rice). RNAcentral describes it as "partial microRNA MIR478c-1 precursor". Lineage: Eukaryota; Viridiplantae; Streptophyta; Magnoliopsida; Poales; Poaceae. The record is from RNAcentral.
ACAAGUAUGAGUUUGGUUGGUUACCAAUUUUCGUCCACACUAGUACAAAUCCUAUGCCACCAAAAUUACCGGUGUCAAUACUUGCCAGGAUUUUGACACAACCAAAAUAUUGGCAGAACGAAAAUUGGCUCCAAACCAAAUAAGCCAUAU